UUGGAGGGCAAGUCUGGUGCCAGCAGCCGCGGUAAUUCCAGCUCCAAUAGCGUAUAUUAAAGUUGUUGCAGUUAAAAAGCUCGUAGUUGAAUUUCGGGACUAGUACGUCGGUCGUGCCUUAGGUACGUACUGGUGUUACUGGUUCCUACCUUCUGACGAGCCAUCAUGUCAUUAAUUUGGUGUGGUGGGGAAUCAGGACUGUUACUUUGAAAAAAUUGAGUGUUUAAAGCAGGCUCGCGCUUGAAUACAUUAGCAUGGAAUAAUGAAAUAGG
This 272-nucleotide ribosomal RNA is filed under the name uncultured Glomus. RNAcentral's name for it is "partial 18S ribosomal RNA". It matches the Rfam family "Eukaryotic small subunit ribosomal RNA", at positions 548 to 826 of the family's 1831-position model. Lineage: Eukaryota; Fungi; Glomeromycota; Glomeromycetes; Glomerales; Glomeraceae. The record is from RNAcentral.